Molecule: non-coding RNA, 1673 nt
Organism: Salvelinus sp. IW2-2015
Lineage: Eukaryota; Metazoa; Chordata; Actinopteri; Salmoniformes; Salmonidae
Source: RefSeq, a predicted model, not a curated record
UCUGUUUCAUACUUCUCAUAGUUGAUAAGUAGCUUAUUCAUUUUUUCUUCAGUGAUUCAAUUCAGUAAGAUAUCAUCAUUUACAAAUUGAAAGGAUUAGAUUUACAUGUACUAAAACACAUGAAUUCAACAGGUCAGUUCAUCUCGAUACUUCAAAACUCCUAAGAACUUCACAAAUCCAGUGUGUGGGUCUUCCAGUGAGUUGGAGAGGAUUGAGGAACCAUGGCACAGUUUGGAACCUUGAUAUGGACUAUAACUAUUAUAUUGGUGCAUGUAAGCAUUGGAUCCUGUAUUGCAUGUGGUAGAGCUGAGUACAGAAUAGGUGAUGAAUGUUGUCCCAUGUGUUCACCAGGUAAGGACCCUCUUUACAUCAUAUGAAUCACCAGACGUUAAUACAUCAUCAACACUAACAGAAAAACAUGACAUUGUGAUUMUCUCUUCMCCAGGAAAUCAUGUACAUAAGCAUUGUACUGAAYUYACCAGCACCAGCUGUGUGCCCUGUGUUGAUUCUACAUUCCUUGAUGAGCCCAAUGGUCUCAUGAAAUGCAAAGUGUGUACCAACUGUGAUCCAGGUUUGGGUUUGAWGGUAAAGCAGCCAUGUASACCUUCAUCAGACACUGUCUGUGGGACACUGGAGGGGUUCUACUGUCUAGACCCAACUAAGGAUGGUUGUAGAGCAGCCCAGAGACACAGCAGCUGUAAACCUGGUCAAUACAUCAGCCACACAGGAACAACAUCUACAGAUACUGUGUGUUCUGACUGUACUGGUGACACCUAUUCAGAUGGAUCAUUAACAUCCUGCCGACCACACACAGAGUGUAAAUCCUUCGGUCUUCAAGAACUUAGACCAGGAACUAAUUUGUCCAAUUCUGAAUGUGGACCACAAUCCUCACAAAUAGAACCUGGAAUCAUCAUUGGUGUUGUUCUGGCAUCAGUCCCAAUAGCUCUUGCAAUAACAAUAAUAAUAAUAAKARGAWUUGUAAUUCUAWGGAGGAGAAAAAGUCCAACAMCAGUGACUUUUUCUCCAGUGACAGUAAAUGCUGUAGAGGUAUGUUGAUAUAAUCUACAUGUUGAACAGUCACUGUGCUAAGGUUAGCUGAGCAGAUGUUAUUAYUGCUCUACUUACUCUGGGGCUGAACUAGAAAUGUUUUAUUGAGUAAUAUGUUUCCUUCUAUUAGGCAUCRUCAGAUUUAGAGGAAACACCAAGCAAUSUAGUACAAUGAAACAGAAGAAAGUACAGCAUCUUGCAGGUGUUAGUUUUGUAGAUGAUUCAAGCUCUGACUGCACUCAUCAUUACAAAUGCUACCUGAGAAUGAGGAGACCAAGGAGCGGCUCUCACUUAUGACUCCACUGAUGAAGAAACAAAGCCGCUUGAUGACAUUGGAUCCUCCUCAAGAGGUCAAAGGGCAGACUAACCUCUCAGGCAGUAACAUCCCAGUCUGCUUCAGUGGCCCAGAAAUCAGGAGCAAACCCAGACUCAGAGAUGGAUAGUGAUGAUUCACUCACCCCCUGCCUUGUCAGCUCACCAGGAAUGAGGCAAGCCGCCUCGUUACCCCCGAGACUGUCUGGAGGCCUUCCUCUCCUCAGAGGACCCAGCGAGGGUGGAGCACAGUCUGAGAGCUGUUGAGUGAGAACACUUCUACAGCCAGAGAGUCAAGAAAUGGAACAGCAAAG